Molecule: non-coding RNA, 491 nt
Filed under: Ligilactobacillus saerimneri 30a
Lineage: Bacteria; Bacillati; Bacillota; Bacilli; Lactobacillales; Lactobacillaceae
Description: Lactobacillus saerimneri 30a Bacterial small subunit ribosomal RNA
Rfam family: Bacterial small subunit ribosomal RNA
Source: Rfam by way of RNAcentral
UAAAUCGAGAGUUUGAUCCUGGCUCAGGAUGAACGCUGGCGGCGUGCCUAAUACAUGCAAGUCGAGCGCAUCGGCCCAACUGAUUGAAGAUGCUUGCAUCCGAUUGACGAUGGUUUACCGAUGAGCGGCGGACGGGUGAGUAACACGUAGGUAACCUGCCCAGAAGCGGGGGAUAACACCUGGAAACAGAUGCUAAUACCGCAUAGGUCAUUUGACCGCAUGGUCAAAUGAUUAAAGAUGGCUCUGCUAUCACUUCUGGAUGGACCUGCGGCGUAUUAGCUAGUUGGUAAGGUAACGGCUUACCAAGGCAAUGAUACGUAGCCGAGUUGAGAGACUGAUCGGCCACAUUGGGACUGAGACACGGCCCAGACUCCUACGGGAGGCAGCAGUAGGGAAUCUUCCACAAUGGACGCAAGUCUGAUGGAGCAACGCCGCGUGAGCGAAGAAGGUCUUCGGAUCGUAAAACUCUGUUGUUAGAGAAGAACACGGGU